UUAUUGUUCUCUUUUGCCUGCCCUUCGGCUUGAAAGGAAUUCUGUAGAAGCAGUCUUUAUUUUCAGACUCUGCAGGCCUGCUGGGAGGAAACAUAUUACAAUAAACAGAAGAAGCUCAUGGUCCACUAUCUGCUGCUCCAGAGUCAAGGCCAGGUCCCUCUCCAUGUCACCACGGAGCACAUGAGCAACUGGCUGGUGUCUCAGGGCAAAAAAUCCCUUAGGGGGAGGGUGUGGAAGGAAACCCUGGAGGAGGGAAACGACCUCGCUCGGCUGGCCUGGGAAGUAAACACUUGCCUAAAAAUGAUGAACAUAGAGCACGAGGCUUUCUGCAAGCUCCGCCGCUCCAUGCACCCCACCUCGCCAGCUGACAUCGAUCCACAGCACUGUGGAAAGAGCUGUGAGGAGCAUUCUGGGCGAGCAGUCCAAUGAGCCCAGUAGCAACCUGCUCAGGUGGUGGCGGAGGUGGUGCCCAGGCUCCUCCUGGCCCUGUGGCUUCAGCCAGAGGAAGGCCAUUCAGAGCACCCAAUCCUAAUAAACGGGAUGGCCGUGGGCAUGGUGGCAGCCGUAGUGGAGAAGCUCUCCUGCAUGUUAAAGGACCCUUCCCCUCACAUCCCUUUCUCCCGGGCUGCUGCUUUUGACUCUGUGCGGUCGAUCCUCAGGAGAAUCAGUCAGUCCUUCUCCACCGAUGACCUGCAGAGCCCUUUUUAUAUGAGCUCUGUUUGUGCCUUUGUGGCGGAUGAGGUGCAGAGCUGCUUCCAGCCCCCUGCAGCCACCCAACCAGUCCCCCGGGUCCUCGCGGUGGCCGUUUCCACCACACUACCAGCUGACAUCCAAGGAGGGGAUGUUGCUGUGGUCAUCUCGGAUGUCACCCCACACGUCACCAAGGACAUGACACUGGAUGUUCCAUGCAAACUAGGAAAGGGGCAGUUCGGCGAUUAUUUUGCAGGCUUUGGAGGGCAGUGUGCUGCUGCGCCUGCCACAAGGAAGAGGAGGAACAAUAUUAAUUAUUCAUCAGACCUUCAGAAA
Oncorhynchus tshawytscha (Chinook salmon) is the source of this 1026-nucleotide long non-coding RNA. NCBI's taxonomy places the organism in Eukaryota, Metazoa, Chordata, Actinopteri, Salmoniformes, Salmonidae. The record is from Ensembl.